ACACUCCUACGGGAGGCAGCAGUGGGGAAUAUUGGACAAUGGGCGAAAGCCUGAUCCAGCAAUGCCGCGUGAGUGAUGAAGGCCUUAGGGUUGUAAAGCUCUUUUACCCGGGAUGAUAAUGACAGUACCGGGAGAAUAAGCCCCGGCUAACUCCGUGCCAGCAGCCGCGGUAAUACGGAGGGGGCUAGCGUUGUUCGGAAUUACUGGGCGUAAAGCGCGCGUCGGCGGCUUUGUAAGUUAGAGGUGAAAGCCCGGAGCUCAACUUCGGAAUUGCCUUUAAGACUGCAUCGCUAGAAUCGUGGAGAGGUGAGUGGAAUUCCGAGUGUAGAGGUGAAAUUCGUAGAUAUUCGGAAGAACACCAGUGGCGAAGGCGACUCACUGGACACGUAUUGACGCUGAGGUGCGAAAGCGUGGGGAGCAAACAGGAUUAGAAACCCUGGUAGUCCC
Molecule: ribosomal RNA, 447 nt
Filed under: uncultured organism
Description: partial 16S ribosomal RNA
Rfam family: Bacterial small subunit ribosomal RNA
Source: RNAcentral